GCGUGUGGUGCUGUUGACGCCGUGGGCGGAGCUGCGGGGGCAGAAGGGGGAGGCGGGGAUGCGGGAAGCCGUUGGAGAGGCCCAGAGCGCGCCACGUCGCCGAGAGUGAAGGUCGGUGUUUUUUGAGUCUCACCGGACCGGACCGGCAAAACCUCUCUGGGACGAGCGCUUCACCUCGGCGUGCGAUUGGACACGAGGCGGGAUGCCC
Molecule: long non-coding RNA, 208 nt
Filed under: Hordeum vulgare
Lineage: Eukaryota; Viridiplantae; Streptophyta; Magnoliopsida; Poales; Poaceae
Description: long non-coding RNA (HVUL_LNC010421)
Source: RNAcentral